This 275-nucleotide ribosomal RNA is filed under the name uncultured bacterium. RNAcentral describes it as "partial 16S ribosomal RNA". It matches the Rfam family "Bacterial small subunit ribosomal RNA", at positions 338 to 606 of the family's 1533-position model. The record is from RNAcentral.
CCUACGGGUGGCUGCAGUCGAGAAUUUUUCACAAUGGGCGAAAGCCUGAUGGAGCGACGCCGCGUGGGGGAUGAAGGGCUUCGGUCCGUAAACCCCUGUCAUUUGCGAACAAAGUUGCCGCGUGAACAACGCGUCAAUUGAUAGUAGCAGAAGAGGAAGGGACGGCUAACUCUGUGCCAGCAGCCGCGGUAAUACAGAGGUCCCGAGCGUUGUUCGGAUUCACUGGGCGUAAAGGGUGCGUAGGUGGUGAGGUAAGUUUGUGGUGAAAUCUCCGG